RNAcentral lists this small nuclear RNA (23 nucleotides) under Arabidopsis thaliana (thale cress). RNAcentral describes it as "snRNA_01464". Lineage: Eukaryota; Viridiplantae; Streptophyta; Magnoliopsida; Brassicales; Brassicaceae. The record is from RNAcentral.
UACUCAUGUCAGUUUUAACUACC